AGGGUUUGGAUCCUGGCUCAGAACGAACGUUGGCGGCGUGGAUUAGGCAUGCAAGUCGAGCGAGAUUCUAAUUUUUCAAUUCUUCGGAAAAGAAGUUUUAGAUGACAGCGGCGAACGGGUGAGUAAUAUAUGGGUAAUUUGCCCCUAAAUUUGGAAUAGCCAUUGGAAACGAUGUGUAAUGCCAAAUGUGAUCGUCUACCACAUGGUAGACUGUUUAAAGGCUGGGAAUCUUCGGAUCCAGUCGUUUAGGGAUAAGCCCAUAUCCUAUCAGCUUGUUGGUGAGGUAAUGGCUCACCAAGGCUUACGGGUAGCCGGCCUGAGAGGGUGAUCGGCCACACUGGGACUGAGACACUGCCCAGACUCCUACGGGAGGCUGCAGUCGAGAAUCAUUGUCAAUGCACGAAAGUGUGAACAUGCGACGCCGCGUGGAGGAAGACGGCCUUCGGGUUGUAAACUCCUGUCAGCAGGGAGGAAAGGUAGCAACAUUAAUAGUGUUGUUAUUUGACAGUACCUGCAGAGGAAGUCACGGCUAACUCUGUGCCAGCAGCCGCGGUAAUACAGAGGUGGCAAACGUUGUUCGGAUUUACUGGGCGUAAAGGGUCCGCAGGCGGCUUGGUAUGUCAGAUGUGAAAGCCCACGGCUUAACCGUGGAAUUGCAUUUGAAACUGCCAGCUUAGAGUAUCGGA
This 686-nucleotide ribosomal RNA is filed under the name uncultured bacterium. Its description in RNAcentral is "bacterial SSU rRNA". It matches the Rfam family "Bacterial small subunit ribosomal RNA", at positions 8 to 653 of the family's 1533-position model. The record is from RNAcentral.